UGCCAGCCGCCGCGGUAAUACGGAGGGGGCUAGCGUUGUUCGGAAUUACUGGGCGUAAAGCGCGCGUAGGCGGCGUGUAUAGUUAGAGGUGAAAGGCCUGGGCUCAACCUGGGAACUGCCUUUAAUACCGACAUGCUAGAGUCCGAAAGAAAAUAACGGAAUUCCCAAUGUAGAAGUGAAAUUCGUAGAUAUUGGGAAGAACACCAGUGGCGAAGGCGGCCACCUGGCUCGGUACUGACGCUGAGGCGCGAAAGCUAGGGGAGCGAACGGGAUUAGAUA
Molecule: ribosomal RNA, 279 nt
Filed under: uncultured bacterium
Lineage: Bacteria
Description: partial 16S ribosomal RNA
Rfam family: Bacterial small subunit ribosomal RNA
Source: RNAcentral